CUCUCAUCGUGGUGCCAGUGGUGGGCUCAUUAGGUGAGCAGAUUCUUCCCAGGGACAGAAUAGCUCUGAACAACAGGGGAUAAAAUCACUUAUGGUUAAGGCAGAUACAAGGGCGGCUCGACCUUCUCCUGUGCCGAGGUCCCUGCUUCCGUGUUGCUAUUCUCCCAACGUGGGCUGAAGCUUCAGAAUGUUACAGAUAAUCGAAG
Non-coding RNA from Pelobates cultripes (western spadefoot toad), 206 nucleotides. Lineage: Eukaryota; Metazoa; Chordata; Amphibia; Anura; Pelobatidae. The record is from the annotation of a GenBank genome assembly.